ACGGAUCCUUGGGGCGGACGUGGCGUGGCAGGCUCGGCUGAAGAUCCUCGCAGACGGCUGGAUGAUCGCUGAUGCUGAAAUCACGGGAUGGGAAGAUGGAUCUUUGCUGGGAUGAGGUGCGGACGUGGCGUGCGCUCGUGAGGAACUCGGACGUGGACGCUGCGAUGAAGUCGGAUGGAGCUGGGACGUGCUGUGAACGUGGAAGCCGAGAAUGCUGGGAGAUGCUUCACGGACGGUUGGAAGGCGCGUAUGGAUGAACUCGGAAGCAAACGGAUGGGGAUACUCUCGAACGGAAGGAGGAUUGGAACCGACAGCUGCUAAAUCAAUGGGAGAAAAACUCGGAAGCUAAUCCACACGCGGAAGGCACUCGAUCUGAUCCGCGGAUGUGGGGGGAAACUGCAACUCGGAUGCUCUAUGGAAGCUGGG
This 426-nucleotide long non-coding RNA is filed under the name Phoenix dactylifera (date palm). RNAcentral's name for it is "long non-coding RNA (PDAC_LNC019908)". The record is from RNAcentral. Lineage: Eukaryota; Viridiplantae; Streptophyta; Magnoliopsida; Arecales; Arecaceae.